ACUGUGGAUUAGAAAUUUCUUAUUAAAGUUAGAGUCACUAAUAGACUCCCAUGAGUACAAUUAAAUGUAAAAGAAGUCAGUUGUACAUAUAUAUAUAUAGCCAAAGUGGUAGCUGAUAGGCGAAGACUGGUUAGGAAAAUAAUGAAAGCUGGUUCUUUCAGAAAUGCCACAGUAAGUAGCAUGCAUAUUUCCCUACCAAUCUCCUACAGAGUUAGCAGAUUAUGUGGGACGAAAUAUAUCUUCUGUAUUCCUAGCUGAAAAUUAAUGGAAAAAUAAAUCUGUAAUCAUCACAUAUUAACUUUAAAAAGCAAAUAGUCUUAGUGCUAUGCUAAAUGAAUGUUAGUAUACAGAAUUCAAAUUUAAUGUAUUUUCAAAAUUAGCCUGUCUGUAGUUUUCUACAUAAAAAAUAUUAACAGAAAUGACAUAAAUCAUCAAAUGAUCUUGGUUUUAAUUAAUUUCAAUGAUUCUCUAUAAACAUAUGAUUAUAAAUGCACUGAACCAUCAUUAUAAAAUAAUUUCUAUACCAUGAAGUACCAUGAGGGUUAAGGAUUAAAUAAUAGCCCCAUUAACUGUAUUAAGAUUUAAUAUCUGUAAUUCUCACUUUUGGUCUAUCUAUCAUCUAUCUUCUUGUUAUUUUCUCAGUUCUUUCAAAUAAGACUUUUGUUAUGAAUCAACUAAAAUUCAACUGAAUAAUCACAUCACAUGCAAUUAUGUUUUAUAUAUAACAUAAUAACAUUUUAAUAUUAAUUUGUUUGUAGCUAAAUAAAACACUUAUUUAUUGUCUGUAUCAAUAAGUAUGUUACAAGCUAGGGUUCAAGAAAAAACUUAAGCAUUUCUUUUUAAAAAAAUGUGUGAAUAUGAAGUUAGGUUUUCUCAAUCCCAGAGAAAACAAUGGGAGGAUUCCUUAAGAAAAAUUGUACUUAUAUUAUUAAUCUGACUCAAACAAUGUAAGCAUGAAUAUGUAAUCUAUAAAAGGGUAGCACUGAGUAGUUUUCAUGAAUUUGAACUCCUAACAAAAUCACCCCUAAAAUUCAUAACGCAAAAAAAAAAAAAAAGAUCAAUUCUAAGUCCUCAGCAUAACCUGCUGCCAGUAUUUGAAACAGCUGAUCACUUUAUCCUUCUAGAAAAACUGCUUUUUCCUUGAUUUUGGGGACGAUUUUGGGGACAUUUCCUUUUCAGAUUUUUAACUUACUACCCUGGUAGAUACUUGUCAGAAUUCUUUGAUGGAUCCUGUUAAUUUUCCCAACUGUUAAAUAUCGUUGAUUCCGUGGACACAGUACUUGCUCCCCUAUUCCCUACCAAAGUUCUCACUGACUUCCUUUUAAAGUACCCUGGAAACUGACAGAUUGGUAGCUUCAACCAGAAAAUUCAGGCACAUAUUUACCACAUUCUUAUGAUUUCUUUUUUUCCUGGAUCCACAAAGAUUGAAACUCGCCACAUGGGGGCACAUUCGUUCACCAUAACUGUGACUAAAAUUGGUGACAUUUUAAUUUGCAGGCAAUUACCUCUACAAACACCUCCCUUCAUUAGAAAUAAAAAUUGAGAUGUUCAAAGCAUCUUACAGGUCAAAGAGCUAAGCCAGAUCCUCACUCAAGCACUCAAGAGUUUUUUUUUUUUUUUUUUCCCGAGAAAAACUCUGGAGGAACAAACAACUUUGAACAUUUUCCCACUGAAGUCCUGGCGUUUUGGCGCUGACAGCGUUAACUUCUACACGGAAGCUGCCCCUCCGCCCUCCAGAAGGAAAGAGGACCCGUAUGGGAGCCGCAGAGAAGCACCUAGAACCCUGGGGCCUGAGGGCCGGCUGGAGGCAACACAGGGCUGAACCCCUGUCAGCCUGCCGGGGGACGCGGUGCCCGCCCUCCGGCAUCCGGGAAACACAGCGUCCCAGCCGGCGCCUGCGCAGGUGCCACACUUCCUGGUCCUCUCUGGCUGCGUCUGAGGGCCUUAGCUCUGGCCAGGGGCGCUGCAACGGGCUCAGCCUUCUAGGGGUGGCGGGUGAAGGCCUACACCUGCCCCAGGACGGCCAGGUCCACCAGCACCUGCAACAGACGGAGAACUGAAGGAGCAUCUUGAAGCUGUGGCUGUCUUGAAGGUGUCGCCGCUUGUCCUCACGAGCACCAUUUUGAUUCUCGUGCCCUGUGUGCAUGGGUGGCCAGCGUUGCUGGUAGGGCUCCUGCACGCUCAGAGUGGCCUUGGCCAGGAAGUCCAGGGUUUCCGCAGGCAGAGUGUAUGAACAAGAUGCCACAGACAUGUGAGAAAUGGAACUUUUGACAAGAUCUGUGAAAAGAAUGGUAUUUUAUUGUAUUAGGAUUCUCCAGAGGGACAGAACUGAUCGGAUAUAUGUGUAUAUGAAAAGGAGUUUAUUAGGGAGAAUUGGCUCACAUGAUCAUAAGGCAAAGUCCCACAAUAGGCCAUCUGCAAGCUGAGGAAGGAAGAAACCAGUGGUGGCUCAGUCCCAGUCCAAAAGCCUCAAAAGUAGGGAAGCCGACAAUGCAGCCUUCAGUCUGGCCAAAGGCCCAAAAGCCACUGGCAAACCGCUGGUAUAAAUCCAUGUGUUCAAAGGCAGAAGAACCUGGAGUCUGAUGUCCAAGGGUAGAAGGAAUGGAAAGAAGCAUCCAGCAUGUGAAAAAGGAGAAAGCCAGAAGACUCAGCGAGUGAGAUUAUCCCACCUUCUUCCAUCUGCUGUGUUCUGGCCACACUGGCAGACCACUGGAUGGUGUCCACCCACAUGAGGAUGGGUCUUCCUCUUCCAGUCCACUGACUCAAAUGUCAGUCUCCUCUGGCAACACCCUCACAGACCCACCCAGAAACAAUACUUUACCAGCUGUAUAAGCAUCCUUCAAUCCAAUCAAGUUGACACCUGUUAUUAACCAUCACAUUUAUAUAAUGUGUAUAUAACACAUUUAUAUAACAUAAACUGAUUUCCAUUUAUGAAGCAUAUUACGUGCUUACUACAAAAACAUAAAAAAGAAGAGAAUGUAUAAUUGAAUUCCUAUAAAGGGCAUAGAGGUACCGAAAGAAAUAUCUCCAAUACUUUUAGGAUUCCUUACUAAAUUUUAUCUCUGUUUUUUCUAUGUGAAUUAACUCUUAGAAACUCCUAAUCAUACACGUUGACAUAGCCACUGACAAAUAUCAGGUUUUUUAACCAUAAUACAUCCAACCCCCAAUCUUCUAGUUUUCAAAACAAGUCCUAGAAAUGGCUUUAAUUGGUUUAUUUUAUAACCAUAAAUAUGGUGUACCAUUGAUUACUGUAUCCAGUAAAUUAACACCCCUGAGUUUAGGGGAAGAGCCAUUCCCAAAACACAGAUGGUGUGGCUCCCAGGUGGAGGAAAGCAUCUGGGCAGACAAACCAUCAGCAGGAGCAGGGAUGAAUCUUCUCAGUUUUUGGAUGCAAGUUGUGCUUUCUGAGAGCUUUGUGUGUUGAGAUCAUCACUUAAUGUGCCUCCCAGCAUCUAAUUUUUGUUGUUUUACUAAAAGUACAUUGAUUUCUCUGUGAUGAACUGUUUCUGCCCACGCUAGCUCUACGCACAUCAGAUUAGGCAUCCCUUCACCCUGGAUAGGCAUAAUCCAAAUUGAGGCUCCUUCUAAAAAUGACUGAUUCAAGAUGAGUCAAUUUCCAAGCAGCUAUAUUAGAUGCAGUCUUGAAAUUUGUAAUGAAAAUAUAAAGAAAAAUGGUAUAUCAUUCUACUGGCCAUGAUAGAACAAAAACCUGAACCUACCAGUUGCAACUUUCUCUCCACUUGGAAAGAAAAUGCCUGAAAAUAAAGCAAACUCAGAACAAGUAGAUACUAAGAGUUGAAGAAAAAAAUCUGCAGGCCCAGCUAGCUACUCAGGUGGCUGAGGAGGAAGGCCUUGAGCCUAGUUUGAAUUCAGCUUGGGAAACAUAGCAAGAAUAUCUCUAAAAUAAAAUAAAAUAAUUGAAGAUAAAGAGAUUACUGAUGAUGGUUUUCAAGCAUUUUGACCCAAUCUUUUUAAAGUUUGACUUUUCUGUUGACUUCUUUUUUUUUCUGUUAACCAGUAUGUUUAUAUUUCUGCUUAAGCUAGUUUGAAUUUAAUAUCAUGUUACUUGGAAUUGAGUCCUCACUAAUAAGUGAGGAUGAGGGGAGGUUAUGGUCCAAUUCUCAGAUGAAAAUUUGAGUCUUUAUUGACUGCCUGGAUUUUCUUUUCAUAAGCAAGUAAAGUAGGCAACACGUGAUCCACAAAGACUCACCACUAUGGACUAUAUCAACAACCCUAUCCAACAGAUGAAGGAAAUUGGAUGUAAUAAUAGAGUUGCUUUGGAACUAAGAAUCAGAGAUGAUACUUAGAAUGAAGAGACAGAAGUAACAUGAGGUUGGUACAGCUUCCUUUUUCUUUGUCCAUGACACUCCUAAUUAUUAAGCCAUUUAUUAAGAGUUUGAAAGUACCUCCACAUGAUAUAUACUUGCAGGUAUUCCUGUUUUAUUUUCAUUUCUCUGGUCAAAAUUCCUCUAGUACUAUCUGAAAUAACAGUAUAGGUUAUCCUAGAUAUUUGUGAUAAAAUAUUUAGCUUAUAUUUUUUCAUUUCUUCUACCCGGAAUAGUUUACUUUCUACCUAAACCAGGUUAUAAGGAAGGAAGGAGAAAGAAAGGAAGGAAGAAAGAAAGAAAGAAAGAAAGAAAGAAAGAAGGAAAGAGAAAGAAAAAGAAAAGAAAGAAAGAAGGAAAGAGAAAGAAAGAAAAGACAAGAAAGAAAGAAAAAGAAAGGAAGGAAGGGAAGGGAAGGAAGGAAAGAAAGAAAAGAAAGAAAGAGAAAGAAAGAAAAAGAGAGAAAAGAGAAAAGGAAGGAAGGAAGAAAAGAAAAAAGAAAGGAAAGAAGGAAGGAAGGUAGGAAGGAAGGAAAAGAAGAAGGAAGGAAGGAAGAAAAGAAAAAAAGAGAAAGGAAAGAAGGAAGGAAGGUAGGAAGAAAGGAAAAGAAAGAGAAGAAGGAAGGAAGGAAGGAAAAGACAGAGAAGAAGGAAGGAAGGAGGGAAGGGGAGGGGAGGGAGGGGGAGAGAAAGAAUGGCCUGAAAUUUAAGUCUAAUUCACGGACUGUCUGAAAUUACAAAAGUCACAGGUGUAUUGAAGGGCCAAAAUAAAGAUUUUGUUAAUGUUGAGAACAUGUUGUAUAAAUAUGAUUAUUACCACCACAUAUAUCUUUUACAAAACUAUAGUGUAUCAUAGUGAUUCUGCAGUUUCAAGAUAAAACUGUGAAAUUUCCACUUUAAGCUUUUGUCUGAUUUUUUUUCUUUAAAGAAAGUAUGAAUAUGACUCAAAAGUGAUUAUACUGAUAAAUAUAUACUACAUUCCACUAUGAGCAAUGCUUGUGUGCUAUCCUUUCUUAUAGGUUUGUUAACUGCUCAGGGAACUGAUCUCUCAAUAACUUAUAUUUUACAAUAAUAUAUGUAAAAUAUUGUUUAAUUGUACCACUGAGAAUUGAGGACUUUACCAAUUCCUAAUAUAAGCUUAAUAUAUAAUUAGAAUUUGUUUUCAUUUUUUCUCCUGUACUAUGAGCUGGCUAAAACUAUUGUUCUCACUACUUUUUAUGUUGGAACAUAUUAGUUUGAAACAAUCCCUGAUUUUGUUUUUCAAAAAAGCAAAAGCAAAAGCAACUGAGAUGCUUGGAGUGUGUAAGAAUGCAGUAAAAUGUUCAGUUAGUUGCUAAUCCACUGGAGUUAAGUGCAAUCUCUGGAGGUGCUGAGCAUGAUCUAAUACUGCAGCCUUCUGCCCAAAGAGCAUCAUUACAGUAACAGCCCUGCCAAAUAUUCUCUGCUUUUCACUUACACCUAAUAAUGCUUCUAAAGAUACCCCUUAUAAUGUUACUUAGACAUGCACACAGGUGCUCAUUGAAGACUUUGACUUUAAAAUGAAUGCCAUUUACAAUGGCAACACAUUUGGCAAACAAGUGAAAACUGAAAAAUGCCAAUGAACAGAUUGAAUAAAGUAUUCUGAAUAUGCAUUUAUUUUUUUUUUCUUUUUUGAUGUCAUAUAUUUUGAAAUGGACAGGCUCAUUCAUAUAUAUACAUCCUGCACAUUUUACUUUUCAUAAUCAGAGACAGAAUAUCAUAACUAUCAGUCAUAGGAUCUUUGUGAAUUUAUGCAGAUGGGCUGACUUCUUUGAUAAUUUCUGGUAUCAAAAAGAAGUGUUAGGUUGCUUAUGAUUCCUGAAAAAGUUAUUGCAGCAGCACAAAUUAUAACUCAGUAUUUAAAAAUCAAACAUUUCUUUUUGUCUUUUCUUCUCAUCUCUCUGUUUUCAGGCCCACGUGUUCUUCACAUGGCUCUGAAAACACGGAAAUGAAAAGGAAAGACAAAAAGGAAACUAGUCGGGAUGUCUUCACAAUUACUUAUCACUGCG
RNAcentral lists this long non-coding RNA (6351 nucleotides) under Homo sapiens (human). Its description in RNAcentral is "HSALNT0085908". The record is from RNAcentral. Lineage: Eukaryota; Metazoa; Chordata; Mammalia; Primates; Hominidae.